UUUAAAGGUAGAUAUAUUAUUUUUAGAUAUGUAUUUUUGUGUGUUCUGUAAAGGUAGAUUUAUCUAAUCUUCCACUCAUUUUUCUGUUUUUAAGCCAUUUGAACGUUUUUGAAUAUGCAGGUUUUUCAGAUCUGGAUUUAAUAUGCAGGUUUUUCUGAUCUGGAAGACUUCUGGGACGACUUACUUGUUAGUCGUCUGG
RNAcentral lists this long non-coding RNA (199 nucleotides) under Brassica napus (rape). RNAcentral describes it as "long non-coding RNA (BNAP_LNC017578)". The record is from RNAcentral. Lineage: Eukaryota; Viridiplantae; Streptophyta; Magnoliopsida; Brassicales; Brassicaceae.